Molecule: small RNA, 342 nt
Filed under: Histoplasma capsulatum
Lineage: Eukaryota; Fungi; Ascomycota; Eurotiomycetes; Onygenales; Ajellomycetaceae
Also listed under: 1 other name
Description: hypothetical RNA
Source: RNAcentral
UGCUGCCCAUGAUGACAAUGAACUAAGCUCUGACCUUGCUGCUCAUCUGUAUGAUCAAGAUGAUACCUCUGCCUUGAGCAGAGUUCUUCAAGAAUUCUGUGAAUGAGUCAAAUAUCUUCAAAAACCAGAUCUUCUCAAAUCAGUAUCUGAUUAUCUGAUUUGGAAGGAAGAGAUUCUGCUUGCCAUCAAGCAAUUCUGUACAGAGGAUAUCCUCAUCAUCAAACCUCUGGAAAAUGUCAGCAAGGAUAUGAAAUGAUACUGAGAGGAACACAACUUCUGACUAUACAAUUUAAUAUAGUCUUCAGUUUCUGUUGAAGUCAAAUCUCUUUUUACUAUACCCCA